This 192-nucleotide microRNA precursor is filed under the name Oryza glumipatula. Its description in RNAcentral is "MIR812 microRNA precursor family". It matches the Rfam family "MIR812 microRNA precursor family". The record is from Rfam by way of RNAcentral. Lineage: Eukaryota; Viridiplantae; Streptophyta; Magnoliopsida; Poales; Poaceae.
AAGACGACACUUUUUUAUUUUUUAUGUCCAACUUUUGAUCGUCCGUCUUAUUUAAAAAAAAUAUGAUUAUUAUUUUUAUUGUUAUUAGAUGAUAAAAUAUGAAUAAUAAUUUAUGUGUACUAAUUUUUUUACUAAUCUAUUUUAAAUAAGAUGGAUGGUCAAACGUUGGAUAAAGAGGUACCAGUACGUAAC